UGGCGUUUGACAAUAGCGGCACGUUGUUGGUCACGGCGGCGCUCGACGGCCAAACGUUCAACGUGUAUUCGUUGCGUGUGACGCACGUAGGUCCGACCGGUGUCGAGCAGGUCGCACCGCGGCAGUUGUAUCGACUUGUGCGCGGCUUCACGUCGGCCAUCAUUCAAUCAGUGUCGUUUAGCG
RNAcentral lists this ribosomal RNA (183 nucleotides) under Pessonella sp. PRA-29. RNAcentral describes it as "partial Trypanosomatid mitochondrial large subunit ribosomal RNA". Lineage: Eukaryota; Discosea; Flabellinia; Vannellidae. The record is from RNAcentral.